RNAcentral lists this ribosomal RNA (450 nucleotides) under Fusobacterium naviforme. RNAcentral describes it as "bacterial SSU rRNA". It matches the Rfam family "Bacterial small subunit ribosomal RNA", at positions 28 to 490 of the family's 1533-position model. Lineage: Bacteria; Fusobacteriati; Fusobacteriota; Fusobacteriia; Fusobacteriales; Fusobacteriaceae. The record is from RNAcentral.
GAUGAACGCUGACAGAAUGCUUAACACAUGCAAGUCAACUUGAAUUUGGGUUUUUAACUUAGGUUUGGGUGGCGGACGGGUGAGUAACGCGUAAAGAACUUGCCUCACAGCUAGGGACAACAUUUGGAAACGAAUGCUAAUACCUAAUAUUAUGAUAAUAGGGCAUCCUAUAAUUAUGAAAGCUAUAAGCGCUGUGAGAGAGCUUUGCGUCCCAUUAGCUAGUUGGAGAGGUAACGGCUCACCAAGGCGAUGAUGGGUAGCCGGCCUGAGAGGGUGAUCGGCCACAAGGGGACUGAGGCACGGCCCUUACUCCUACGGGAGGCAGCAGUGGGGAAUAUUGGACAAUGGACCGAGAGUCUGAUCCAGCAAUUCUGUGUGCACGAUGAAGUUUUUCGGAAUGUAAAGUGCUUUCAGUUGGGAAGAAACAAAUGACGGUACCAACAGAAGAAG